Molecule: long non-coding RNA, 349 nt
Filed under: Elaeis guineensis (African oil palm)
Lineage: Eukaryota; Viridiplantae; Streptophyta; Magnoliopsida; Arecales; Arecaceae
Description: long non-coding RNA (EGUI_LNC067341)
Source: RNAcentral
UGCAUGGAUCACCAGCAAAGGGUGCACAAUGUAAACCCUAAAUCCAUAAAAAUUCCAAAAAAAAUUUGGAUAAAUUCGGUGCAAAAUUGAAAGAGUUUUGGAUUUCUAAAACUCUAUCUCAUAGAAUUCGAAAUCCAAACUUAUUCCUUUUAGAUUUGAUCCAAACCACCUUCCAUGUAAGAGAGAAGAGAGGAGACCUUUUGUGAAUGUGGGAGAGAUCUGGGAGAGGGCUUUUGUCACACAAAAUAAGUGGAGAUUGGCAUUGAAUUAAGAGAGAGGGCGUGGAGAAGGCUUAUGUGGCGCAAGGUGGAAUCCUAGUCUUACUAGGAUUCUGUCUUAUGACUUGUUU